RNAcentral lists this ribosomal RNA (498 nucleotides) under uncultured bacterium. Its description in RNAcentral is "partial 16S ribosomal RNA". It matches the Rfam family "Bacterial small subunit ribosomal RNA", at positions 28 to 507 of the family's 1533-position model. The record is from RNAcentral.
GACGAACGCUGGCGGCGUGCCUAAUACAUGCAAGUCGAACGAGAGCGCCCGGUGCUUUCACUCGUCAAUCUAGCGGCGAACGGGUGAGUAACGCGUGGGUCACCUGCUCAUCAUUGGGGGGUAACAUCCGGAGACGGCUGCUACUACCACCUCGGUCUUCGUACGGCAUGGAUCGAAGGGGAUACGAGGCUCGAGCUUCUGCUGAUGGAGGGGCCCGCGUUGCAUUAGCUAGUUGGUGAGGUAACGGCUCACCAAGGCCAUGAUGCGUAGCCGGCCUGAGAGGGUGAUCAGCCACACUGGAACUGAGACACGGCCCAGACUCCUACGGGAGGCAGCAGUGGGGAAUAUUGGGCGAUGGGCGCAAGCCUGACGGAGCAAUGCCGCGUGAGUGAAGAAGGUCUUCGGAUCGUAAAGCUCUGUUGUUAGGGAAGAAAAGGAGCAGGUUAAUCCGUUGGCGUUUUGACGGUACCUAACGAGAAAGCAACGGCUAACUACGUG